This is a non-coding RNA of Saimiri boliviensis boliviensis (Bolivian squirrel monkey), 460 nucleotides long. The record is from RefSeq and is a predicted model, not a curated record. Lineage: Eukaryota; Metazoa; Chordata; Mammalia; Primates; Cebidae.
CAUUCUGGACCCCUCGGCCGCGCGUUCGCGGCGGUUGGUGUUAGCGGGCUGGGCAUCUGGUGAAGUGCCCAGACUGGGCGCUUCCAGAGCUUUCUGUGGCCGGGCAAUGAGGCCCUAGGGCAAGGAAUGGGAGGUUGUAUCGCUGUCGAUGUGCGGAACUCCCCUCUUGAGGGUUCCCACAGUGACUUGCAAAAGUCCAGUGAGACCCUAGAGAGCUAAGGCGAGGCACGAAGCAUGUGGUUCUUGGGGUUGCGACGCUCGAUCCGCCAUCUUGGGUGCUGGCGGCGGAAACCAAACUUCCUCUCGGGGCGAACCUGGAGAAGCCACCUCAGGAGUGAGGGACGGUUGCGCCUCAUGGCUCAGGCAAGGACUGGACUCGAACUCCCGGACUCAAGUGAUCUUCCCACUUAGCAGGGACUGCUGGACACCUGUCUCCCAAUAAAUACUUGAGUAUUAAUGA